Molecule: ribosomal RNA, 253 nt
Filed under: uncultured bacterium
Lineage: Bacteria
Description: partial 16S ribosomal RNA
Rfam family: Bacterial small subunit ribosomal RNA
Source: RNAcentral
UACGUAGGGUGCAAGCGUUAAUCGGAAUUACUGGGCGUAAAGCGUGCGCAGGCGGUUUUGUAAGACAGUGGUGAAAUCCCCGGGCUCAACCUGGGAACUGCCAUUGUGACUGCAAGGCUGGAGUGCGGCAGAGGCGGAUGGAAUUCCGCGUGUAGCAGUGAAAUGCGUAGAGAUGUGGAGGAAUACCGGUGGCGAAGGCGGCCCCCUGGGCCUGCACUGACGCUCAUGCACGAAAGCGUGGGGAGCAAACAGG